Molecule: ribosomal RNA, 245 nt
Filed under: uncultured Actinomycetes bacterium
Lineage: Bacteria; Bacillati; Actinomycetota; Actinomycetes
Description: uncultured actinobacterium partial 16S ribosomal RNA
Rfam family: Bacterial small subunit ribosomal RNA
Source: RNAcentral
GACGAACGCUGGCGGCGUGCUUAACACAUGCAAGUCGAGCGGUAAGGCCCUUUCGGGGGUACACGAGCGGCGAACGGGUGAGUAACACGUGGGCGACCUACCCUCAGCUCUGGGAUAAGCCUGGGAAACUGGGUCUAAUACCGGAUAUGACUUCCUGCUGCAUGGUGGGGAGUGGAAAGUUUUUCGGCUGGGGAUGGGCCCGCGGCCUAUCAGCUUGUUGGUGGGGUGAUGGCCUACCAAGGCGA